CAUAGCGACUAUCGUGGCAUAUCAAUAAGCGGAGGAAAAGAAACUAACUAGGAUUCCCUCAGUAACGGCGAGUGAAGCGGGAAGAGCUCAAAUUUGAAAUCUUCAAGGUUCUACCUUGACGAAUUGUAGUUUAAAGAAGUGUUUUCUGUUAGUGGAGUGGCAAAAGUUCUUUGGAAUAGGACAUCAUAGAGGGUGAGAAUCCCGUAUUUGGUCAUUCCUCCUAGCGUUGUGAUACACUUUCAACGAGUCGGAUUGUUUGGGAAUGCAGUCCAAAAUGGGUGGUAAAUUUCAUCUAAAGCUAAAUAUUGGCGAGAGACCGAUAGCGAACAAGUACCGUGAGGGAAAGAUGAAAAGAACUUUGAAAAGAGAGUUAAACAGUACGUGAAAUUGUCAAAAGGGAAGCGUUUGACACCAGUGUUGUUUAGUUGAAAAUCAAUUCAAUAGUUUUUGAUUUUGAGUAGUAUUGACUUCAUCAGCUUGCUGCUCUCUUUUCGGAAAUUAUUGAAUGCACUUUUCAGUUAACAAGUCAACAUCAAUUUCUUUUGUUGUAAAAGGGUAAGAGGAAGGUGGCUUUCUUUUCGGAGAAAGUGUUUAUAGCCUUGUGCCUCUGCAAUCGGAGAGACUGAGGUCUGCAGCGUAGAUCCUUCUUGGGAUUAGAUUACAGUUGGUGCUAAGUUAUAGCUUUUCAUAGACAACUUGUUGACUAUAGUUUAGUCUUGUAGCUUACUCGCUUAUGCUAUUUUACCUACGCUUAGGAUGUUGAUAGUCACAGCGUGUAC
This 779-nucleotide ribosomal RNA is filed under the name uncultured Neocallimastigales. RNAcentral describes it as "partial large subunit ribosomal RNA". It matches the Rfam family "Eukaryotic large subunit ribosomal RNA", at positions 22 to 610 of the family's 3401-position model. The record is from RNAcentral. Lineage: Eukaryota; Fungi; Neocallimastigomycota; Neocallimastigomycetes; Neocallimastigales.